AGCACCGUUAACUAGCUAAUGCGGAGUUUAGGUAUAAGAUUAACAUCCCGUCAAUCUUAUGUCGCAGGUUCGAUUCCUGUCGGUGUUA
Molecule: transfer RNA, 88 nt
Filed under: Lactococcus lactis
Lineage: Bacteria; Bacillati; Bacillota; Bacilli; Lactobacillales; Streptococcaceae
Description: tRNA-OTHER
Source: RNAcentral